GAUGAACGCUGGCGGCGUGCCUAAUACAUGCAAGUCGAGCGAACAGACGAGGAGCUUGCUCCUCUGACGUUAGCGGCGGACGGGUGAGUAACACGUGGAUAACCUACCUAUAAGACUGGGAUAACUUCGGGAAACCGGAGCUAAUACCGGAUAAUAUAUUGAACCGCAUGGUUCAAUAGUGAAAGACGGUUUUGCUGUCACUUAUAGAUGGAUCCGCGCCGCAUUAGCUAGUUGGUAAGGUAACGGCUUACCAAGGCAACGAUGCGUAGCCGACCUGUGAGGGUGAUCGGCCACACUGGAACUGAGACACGGUCCAGACUCCUACGGGAGGCAGCAGUAGGGAAUCUUCCGCAAUGGGCGAAAGCCUGACGGAGCAACGCCGCGUGAGAGAUGAAGGUCUUCGGAUCGUAAAACUCUGUUAUUAGGGAAGAACAAAUGUGUAAGUAACUAUGCACGUCUUGACGGUACCUAAUAAGAAAGCAACGGCUAACUACGUG
Molecule: ribosomal RNA, 497 nt
Filed under: uncultured bacterium
Lineage: Bacteria
Description: partial 16S ribosomal RNA
Rfam family: Bacterial small subunit ribosomal RNA
Source: RNAcentral